UCGAUUAAGCCAUGCGAGUCUAGAGGCCUAGCCUCGGCGUACCGCUCAGUAACACGUGGGUAACCUACCCUAUGCUGGGGAAUAAGCUCGGGAAACUGAGAAUAAUACCCCAUAGUCCACUACGCCUGGAACGGUGAGUGGAUCAAAGCUCCGGCGGCAUAGGAUGGGCCUGCGGCGUAUCAGGUUGUAGGGGGUGUAAUGUACCCUCUAGCCAUCCACGCGUACGGGUGUUGGGAGACAUUGCCCGGAGAUGGAUUCUGAGACACGAAUCCAGACCCUACGGGGUGCAGCAGGCGCGAAAACUUGGCAAUGCGAGAAAUCGUGACCAGGGAACUCCAAGUGGCAGGGGUAAGACCCUGUCUUUUUCCGACUCUAAAUAGGUCGGCGAAUAAGGGGUGGGUAAGGACGGUGCCAGCCGCCGCGGUAAUACCGGCGCCUCAAGUGGUAGUCGCUUUUAUUGGGCCUAAAACGUCCGUAGCCGGUCUGGUACAUUCGUGGGUAAAUCAACUCGCUCAACGAGUUGAAUUCUGCGAGGACGGCCAGACUUGGGACCGGGAGAGGUGUGGGGUACUCUCAGGGUAGGGGUAAAAUCCUGUCAUCCUGAGAGGACCACCUGUUGCGAAGGCUCCACACUAGAACGGAUCCGACGGUCAGGGACGAAGCCUAGGGGCACGAACCGGAUUAGAUACCCGGGUAGUCCUAGGUGUAAACGCUGUGGACUU
This 722-nucleotide ribosomal RNA is filed under the name uncultured marine archaeon. RNAcentral's name for it is "bacterial SSU rRNA". It matches the Rfam family "Archaeal small subunit ribosomal RNA", at positions 40 to 769 of the family's 1478-position model. The record is from RNAcentral.